RNAcentral lists this ribosomal RNA (253 nucleotides) under uncultured bacterium. RNAcentral describes it as "partial 16S ribosomal RNA". It matches the Rfam family "Bacterial small subunit ribosomal RNA", at positions 524 to 776 of the family's 1533-position model. The record is from RNAcentral.
UACGGAGGGUGCGAGCGUUGCUCGGAAUCAUUGGGCGUAAAGCGUACGCAGGCGGCUCGAUAAGUCGGGUGUGAAAGCCCAGGGCUCAACCCUGGAAAUGCGCCCGAAACUGUCGAGCUUGAGUGCGGGAGAGGGAAGCGGAAUUCCUGGUGUAGAGGUGAAAUUCGUAGAUAUCAGGAGGAACACCGGUGGCGAAAGCGGCUUCCUGGCCCGAUACUGACGCUCAUGUACGAAAGCGUGGGGAGCAAACAGG